CAGUCGCCGCGGGAAUACAGAGGAUGCAAGCGUUAUCCGGAAUGAUUGGGCGUAAAGCGUCUGUAGGUGGCUUUUCAAGUCCGCCGUCAAAUCCCAGGGCUCAACCCUGGACAGGCGGUGGAAACUACCAAGCUGGAGUACGGUAGGGGCAGAGGGAGUUUCCGGUGGAGCGGUGAAAUGCGUAGAGAUGUGGAGGAACACCGAUGGCGAAGGCAGCCCCCUGGGCCAAUACUGACGCUCAUGCACGAAAGCGUGGGGAGCAAACAGGAUUAGAUACCCCCGUAGUCCCUGUCUCUUAUAC
Molecule: ribosomal RNA, 301 nt
Filed under: uncultured bacterium
Lineage: Bacteria
Description: partial 16S ribosomal RNA
Rfam family: Bacterial small subunit ribosomal RNA
Source: RNAcentral